AAAGGCCCAUAUUGCAAGCGUGGAGUGAGCAAUAACAGGCCUGCACAGCAUAGAGACGUCUACCUUGAGACUGGACUAUAUGACCUGGAGGUUAUGAAGUUGUUAACGUUAAUUCUAUGGGUCCUCGCAAUGCAGUGGACGCAGGCCCUGGGCGAGUACUCGCAAAGUGACGGUACGGAGUUGAAGAAGGCCGAGAAAGUGCCUACCAUUUCAGCUGAUACGAAAGAGCAUGAACAGGAGUCCUCUGCACCAGCUGUCUCAACACCAGAUGACCCUGAAGACCCGGAUCCAUCUGUUUCUGCUGCUUUUGAAUCGAGCCAGCAGUCUGAUGAAGCGUCCUUCUUGAACGCCAUUGCGCGGUUAUUGGGAGAACUGCUGAGCUGGAUAUACGACGUGGUCACUCACGACUUCUGCAGUGAUUCAACGGCGGAAAGCCAGCAGGCCAGGCGCCUGUCUGCACAUGGCGACGAAAUGGAUCGUGAAACGCAUGCCAGUGCCCUGGCCAUGUCAGACAACGAUGCGCUGAAACGGACCUCUAGGUGGAAAGUAUGGAGGAAGCAUAAACCGCCAUGUACCGAGAAGACUGUCGUCAAUCGUAUCUCGUGCUUCAUGCGUCGGGCGAACAUGGGAUCUUACUUACGGAGGGAGCACGCACCGAUUCGAAGCGGCAUCUGCGAGACGCUAUGCGAGUCUUGCGUCUGCGAUUUUGAUCCAAAGUCUUCUUGUUCCAUGCAACUAGAAGCUUGGAAGCAGAAAACAGCACCCAUCGUCUACCAGGUCUACGCUGUACUCCAUUACUCUCGUUUGCUUUGCUUCUGCGCUGCUGUGAAGACCCUGGUGUGCGAUUUCCUGCGUAAACAAUACAUCUACAAGGUGGUCGUCUGCAUGCCACUCCUGGUGCUCUUCGUUAUGAUGUGCAGGGUCAUACUGACCAUCGUGCAGUUGAGGAAGUAUUUGGAGAACUCACGGACACCUGCAGCUUACACCGCAGAGUGCUCGUACCACCACAGCGAAGAAGAGGACACUAUGGGCCAUCGUCCGUUAGAAGGUCUUCGCAGGCCUGCUGCUGCAGCAACCACAGUGCAUAAGCACCAUAACAAUCACGCAGACAUUUACAUCAACAGCUUGAACCAGACGCUAGCAGCGUUAAAGACAUUCAGUAGCUUCGUGGAGACGACGCGUGCCUACUACAAGACCAGGAUUGACGGGGAGCUACGCUCCCUGCUAGAGGCGACGUUCAAGCUCGCUGGGACAAAGCCCUAUUAAGGUGGUCUCUGUUCGCAGCAUCGACAGCAGCGGCGCCUACGAGCUGUGGCACUAACGGUGGACAACGUUUCCAGUACAUGCAAAGGGAUAAGCGUAACGCGAAUAAACAGGUCCGAAACCGUAUAAAUCACCUGCUUCCACGUCAUUGUUGCACUGCAUGUUAACCCACACGUAAAACAAACACGUGCCCGUUAUAUUUUUGUUCGUGAAUUUCGCUCGCGGGCUGACAAGCCAGACUG
Molecule: RNA transcript, 1505 nt
Organism: Ornithodoros turicata
Lineage: Eukaryota; Metazoa; Arthropoda; Arachnida; Ixodida; Argasidae
Exons: 10
Source: RefSeq, a predicted model, not a curated record